GAUCAUAGCACGUUGAAACACAAAUUCCCGUAAGAUCACCAAAGUUAAGCAAACUAUAGUCUGGUUAGUAACUUGAUAGGUGAUCGCUUCGGAAUACCAGGCGCUGUAAG
Molecule: non-coding RNA, 110 nt
Organism: Acanthosepion pharaonis
Lineage: Eukaryota; Metazoa; Mollusca; Cephalopoda; Sepiida; Sepiidae
Source: the annotation of a GenBank genome assembly